RNAcentral lists this long non-coding RNA (4457 nucleotides) under Theobroma cacao (cacao). Its description in RNAcentral is "long non-coding RNA (TCAC_LNC004972)". Lineage: Eukaryota; Viridiplantae; Streptophyta; Magnoliopsida; Malvales; Malvaceae. The record is from RNAcentral.
UCAUUUUACCCAAAAAUUUUGAAACCUGCUAAAAAUACAAUAUAUGAAUGAAAAAUAUGCAUUUCAUAUAAAAAAAUAAAUCUAGGUGUCUAAAUCAUCUUUUUAAAGUGAAUUUAUAACUAAUAGAACUAAAUAAAAAUAUUGAAUAAAAUAUUCUAUUUUCAUAUAAAACAAUAUUUAUAAAAUUCUACGUAAAAAAUUAUUGUAGCGUAGUAACAAAAUAAAUUCAUAUACAUAAUAACACACAGCGCAAGGGUAUACAAAAAUAUUUUACAAUGCCAUGUGAGCCCCAAAAUAACAAAAAUAAAUAAGACUGUAGACCUACGAUUUCUAAGGGUGCAAAUCCAAAAGCAAACCCUUGACAAAAUCGACUGUCUACAGACUGCUCUGAACCUGAAAUGGGUGAAAAGAAGGGGGUGAGUUUUUAUAAACCCAGUGAGUAAGGAAAGUUCAUUUAUAACAUCUAAAACUGAGUAAAUUGAGACAAUUAAAACAUCUCUCCAUAAGAUGAUUCAUAACAUUAAAACUCAUUUCAACCAUAUAAAACAAUUACAUUUCAUCAAAAAUAAUCAGUAAGGCUUAUGACUCUCUUAAAACUUGGCUCGUGACAAAACUCGUACUCGAUGACACCUUGCGCCGGGCAUCCAACCGAGUCCUCCAAGGUUGUUAAAUUAACAUAUACACAUAAAAAAUGUUUUUACGUUUAAAAACGUAGUCAUUCUUUGGCGUUGGCUGAGUUUCACCCUCACGUGGUGGUUCCAUGUGAAGUGAACUCUAAACUACCUUAGGAGAUGCCCUCGGUGCCUCUCCUACUAAGGUAAAAUAUAACGGGAUUUACCAUGCCCCUUUAAUAGGCUAGUCCACGAAAACCCGCCCACUGCAGUAAGCUAAUCACUUACCCCACCAAAUCAAUAAAAAUUUCAGCAGCAUGACAUGGCUAAUAUGAUAUUACCCAGCCUGUCAAGGUAAAACAAAACAAUUUAUAUAUUCCACACAAACACAAAUCCAGCCAUUCAUGCCAUCACAUUGUCAUAAGCCAUCAAUUCAAACCAUAUAUCAAACACGAGUAUAUAGUCUCCACUUACUCAAUUUCCACAAUCAGUAUUCGAUUUCAAAAUAAGUUAUAAAUCUCAUUUCGUUUAACCAACACUUCAAUUUUAAAACAUAAUAAUUUACAAUUUAAACUCAUUAUUCUUUAAAACAUAAAAACAAGUAGAAACAACUUUAGAUAGUUAAGAUGAAAGUCUGUUACUCACUAUAACUGGAGUACUCUAACUCAUAGCCCUCGGGUACGAUAUCUUUACUCUUACUAGAGGGCUCACCACCUAUACAUAAUGCACAACAAGUAAUUCGAUACACUUGUGUCAAACUGUUAUAAGACUAUUUUAGGCUCUUUAUGAAUGUAUGAAAUUGAAUGAGAAGUGUUCGAAUAAUCACUUAAAGAUGGUGUUCUACAUAGGUUCAAUUGUUGUUGGACUGAAAUGGUAUUCAACCUAACUCGCACUAUACACUAUUUAAUUAGCCAAAACAUCCAAUUCAACUCCAAAUAGAUUCAUUGCACUUUCGGUACUCCAAUAAGUCCAUAUACCUCAUUAGAAAUCAAUUCUAAGUCCAUUUACUAUAAUUUUCUCAUUAUCGUUCAAGUCGUUUACUAAAGGAACUAUAUUUUUCGAUAACCGUUUUUGAUAUCCGACAUCACGAAUCAUCAAAUACGAGCUAGUUAACAUGAAAUAUGACAAAAUUCAUCUUCAAAAUAUUCCCUAUAAAAUUCGGCCAAUAGGGUUUGAUGAAGAACAUAUUAUUUUCUUACUUGUUUUUCACACCGAAUAUCACAAACAACUAAAAAUGCCUAGAUAACAUGAGAUCUAGCAAAACCUAUCCUCAAAACCUCCCCCCCCCCCCUUGAUUCAGCCAGCAUGCUUCUAUCAUGAAAACUUGAGUUUCAACCAUGGAAAAUGAAAAAGAAAGCAUGGGUAAGGUAGAUCUUAAGCUAAAUCGCGAAAUCUUACCUUCGAUCCCUUCGUUUUUUGGAAAUCCAAUAAAUUUCUCUUGAAUUUUUCCUCCUUAGAGUUUUUCUAUUCUUUCCCUCUUUGUUCUUUGGCUUGGAUAACAAUGAGAUAGUGAAUGGGAGAGUUUUUGUCACGACCCGGAACUCCCAUCGAGCCCGUGACAACCACCGCGAUGUCCCGAUAGACAUUCAUUACCCGGAAUGCCAAUCGAAACCUCGCAAGGCUUAACAUCAGUUUUCUCGCUUCCCCUGCGAGUAUUAGUUACUAAAAUCAUGUUUUAAAGUGAUAUGAACCAAUUUUAAUUCAAAAACAGUCAAAGAGAAGUUUCAACUAUACAGGGGUAUUUUGGUCAUUUUUUUAAAAAAUUUUGAAACCAGCUAAAAUAUAGUAUAUGAGAGAAAUUUACACAUUUCAUAACCGAAAAUAAGUUUAGAUAUCUAAAACAUUCAUUUAAAGUGAAAUUAUAGCUAAUGGAAUAAAAUAAAAAUAAUGAAUAAAAUACUUCAAUUUUUCAUAAAACAAUUUUUAUAGAACGCUACGCAAAUAAUUUUUACAGCGUAAAAGUAAAAUAAAUUCUUACAUACAGUAGCACACGCAGCUAGGUAUUCAAAACAUUUAACAAUGACAUGUGGGCCCCCAAAUGACUAAAAGUAAUGAAGGUUGUGAACCUACAGUUUUUGAGGAUGCAAGUCCAACUGUAGCCCUCAACGAAAUGAGCUAUCUACCGACUAUCUUGAGCCUGAAAUGGGUAAAAAGAAGGGUGAUGAGAUUAUAUAAUCUCAGUGAGUAAACAAAUAUCAUCUAAAAUAUCUAAAACUGAGUAAAUGGAGACAGAUAAAAUAGAUUAGCAUAAAAAUGAUUCAUAGCAUUUCGAACUUAUUUUAAUAAGAUAAAAUAGAUUCAUUUCACCCAAAUAAACAACGAGGCUUAUGAUUUCCUCAAAAGCUUGGCUCGUGCCAAAAUCAUUCUCAUACUCAGUUGUCAGGGAUACCUUGGCCUAGGGCUAUCCCAACCGAGUCCACCAAGGCUGUUAAAAAGUCAUGUACGCAUAAAUCAUAUUUUUAUUUUGAAAACAUAGUCGUUCCUUGGCAUUGGCUGAGUUCACCCUCACAUGGUGGUUUGACGUGAAGUGAACUCUAAAAUUUUUCCUCAAGAGUUACCCUACGUGCCUCCUCAACUGAGGUAAGAAUAUACCCGAAUUUCAUGGCCCUCAAAAAGGCUGGUUCACAGAACCCGCCACUGUAGUGACCAAUCUAUAACCCACCAAUUAAAUAAAAAUUCAAUAGCAUGACAUGGCAAUUUUAUCAUUAUCCAGCCUAUCAAGGCAAACAACAGUUUAUACAUUUUCAACACAAAUACCCAUCCAGCCAUUCAUGCCCACAUUAUCAUAAGCCAUUCAAUUCAAAACAUAAUUUACAUUACAGCAAGUAGUCUCCAAUUACUCCAUUUUCAAGUCAUCAUUAAAUUUCAAAACAAUUUAUAAAAUCAUUUCAUUUAAAAACAUUUUUCAUAAAAUUACAAAAUCGGAUAAAAACAUACUUUAGAUAAUUAAGACGAUAAUAAGGUUACUCACUGUAAUAGAAAUCAAAUUCGGGAUACUCUGAUUCUUGAUCCUCGGAUACUACCUCUUUACUCUUGCCAGAAUGCUCACCACCUAGACAUAAUGCACAAUAAGCAAUUUGCUACAUUUUUGCUAAACCGUUGUAAAACCAAUUCAGGCUCUAUACUAAUGCAUGAAAUGGGAUGUGAAAUACUCGAGUAACUAUCUAAAUACGGUGUUCAAUAUAAAUUCAAUUAUGUACCUAAAUAAAAUGGUAUUGGCCUAAUUCAAUCUAUCACCCGAUUAAUUAGCCAAUACGUCUAAUUCAACUACAAACAAUUCCAUUUCUCUCCCAAUACUCCAAAUCAUUAAACACAAUUUAAAUAACUUGAAAUGUGGCAAAAUCAUCCUCACAUUUUCUCUUGAAAAAUUCGGCCAUGGUGAGUGCACUAACAAUAUAAUUUUUCAUGCUUGAUUCUCACACCAUAAAUCAUUCAUUCCUAAUCAAAUCACUUGAAAUUCAAUCAAAUUCAUCAUCAAUAUUCCACAUGGAAUAUUCGGCCAAUGAAGGUGAUGUAAGAACAUGAAUUUUUCUUGCUUGCUUUUCAUACUACACAUCACCAAACAACUAAAAACACUAGAAUAACAUGUUUUCUAACUAAAUUCAUCAUCAAAUUCUCUCUCCUAAGGUUUGAUCAGCACAUUAUCCUUCAUGAUAUCUUGUGAUUCAACCAUGAAAAAUGUAAAAUAAUGCAUCGGAAAGGUAGAUCACAAGAUAGAAUUAAGAAAUUUUACCUUUAAUGGCUUGAUUCCUUGAAAAUCAACAAUUCCCCUUUGAAUUUUUCUCUCUAGAGUUUUUGUUCUUCCUUUUUUUCUCUUUUUCUCUCUUUGGUCGACCAAGAUAAAUG